Molecule: ribosomal RNA, 440 nt
Filed under: uncultured bacterium
Lineage: Bacteria
Description: partial 16S ribosomal RNA
Rfam family: Bacterial small subunit ribosomal RNA
Source: RNAcentral
CCUACGGGCGGCAGCAGUAGGGAAUCUUGCACAAUGGAGGAAACCCUGAUGCAGCGACGCCGCGUGAGUGAAGAAGUAUUUCGGUAUGUAAAGCUCUAUCGUCAGGGAAGAAAAUGACGGUACCUGAUUCAGAAGCCCCGGCUAACUACGUGCCAGCAGCCGCGGUAAUACGUAGGGGGCAAGCGUUAUCCGGAUUUACUGGGUGUAAAGGGAGCGUAGACGGCAGCGCAAGUCUGAAGUGAAAUGCCGGGGCUUAACCCCGGAACUGCGUUGGAAACUGGGCAGCUAGAGUGCAGGAGAGGUAAGUGGAAUUCCUAGUGUAGCGGUGAAAUGCGUAGAUAUUAGGAGGAACACCAGUGGCGAAGGCAGUUCACUGGACUGCAACUGACACUGAGGCUCGAAAGUGUGGGUAUCAAACAGGAUUAGAUACCCCUGUAGUC